AUACUUACCUGGACGGGGACUAUGGGUGAUCAAGAAGAAUCAUGGCCUAGGUUGGUGACCACCAUUGCAUUUGGGAGGGGUGCCCGCUUAACAUCUCCCCAAGUGGGAGAGUGUAUGUCAUAAUUUGUGGUAGAUGGGGUACGCGUUCGCGCGGCCCUCAC
This is a small nuclear RNA of Telopea speciosissima, 161 nucleotides long. RefSeq annotates it as U1 spliceosomal RNA. Lineage: Eukaryota; Viridiplantae; Streptophyta; Magnoliopsida; Proteales; Proteaceae. The transcript has a single exon. The record is from RefSeq and is a predicted model, not a curated record.